CCUGGACAGUUGUCUGAUUCACGUUGACAUUUGAAGAGUUGAUGUUUGAAGAGUCACAGAAUGAGAAAGUGAACCGGAAGAAGAAUUGGUGAAAUCACAUCCAGCUGGCAUCUCUGAACGCCCAGCUCUGACCCACUGAGUCAGCAAAGUCUGAUGCAAAGAGCACUCACCAGGCGACUGAGUUCAGAGUGACCCACAUCUGAUGGAAGAGACAAAAAUGUAGCUGUUAAAUCCAACCAAGUAUUUAUCUCUCUC
Molecule: long non-coding RNA, 255 nt
Organism: Miniopterus natalensis
Lineage: Eukaryota; Metazoa; Chordata; Mammalia; Chiroptera; Miniopteridae
Source: RefSeq, a predicted model, not a curated record